AGUGAACGCUGGCGGUAGGCCUAACACAUGCAAGUCGAACGGCAGCACAGUAAGAGCUUGCUCUUACGGGUGGCGAGUGGCGGACGGGUGAGGAAUACAUCGGAAUCUACUUUUUCGUGGGGGAUAACGUAGGGAAACUUACGCUAAUACCGCAUACGACCUACGGGUGAAAGCAGGGGAUCUUCGGACCUUGCGCGAUUGAAUGAGCCGAUGUCGGAUUAGCUAGUUGGCGGGGUAAAGGCCCACCAAGGCGACGAUCCGUAGCUGGUCUGAGAGGAUGAUCAGCCACACUGGAACUGAGACACGGUCCAGACUCCUACGGGAGGCAGCAGUGGGGAAUAUUGGACAAUGGGCGCAAGCCUGAUCCAGCCAUACCGCGUGGGUGAAGAAGGCCUUCGGGUUGUAAAGCCCUUUUGUUGGUAAAGAAAAGCAGCAGGUUAAUACCCCGCUGUUCUGACGGUACCCACAGAAUAAGCACCGGCUAACUUCGUG
This 492-nucleotide ribosomal RNA is filed under the name uncultured bacterium. Its description in RNAcentral is "partial 16S ribosomal RNA". It matches the Rfam family "Bacterial small subunit ribosomal RNA", at positions 29 to 507 of the family's 1533-position model. The record is from RNAcentral.